RNAcentral lists this small nuclear RNA (84 nucleotides) under Fukomys damarensis (Damara mole-rat). RNAcentral describes it as "U2 spliceosomal RNA". It matches the Rfam family "U2 spliceosomal RNA". Rfam says of the family: U2 is a small nuclear RNA (snRNA) component of the spliceosome (involved in pre-mRNA splicing). Complementary binding between U2 snRNA (in an area lying towards the 5' end but 3' to hairpin I) and the branchpoint sequence (BPS) of the intron results the bulging out of an unpaired adenosine, on the BPS, which initiates a nucleophilic attack at the intronic 5' splice site, thus starting the first of two transesterification reactions that mediate splicing. Lineage: Eukaryota; Metazoa; Chordata; Mammalia; Rodentia; Bathyergidae. The record is from Rfam by way of RNAcentral.
AUCGCUUCUCGGCCUUUUGGCUAAGAUCAAGUGUAGUAUCCUACACAAUCCACCAUGCGUUUUUGUCAUAUUAGAAAACUCUUU